RNAcentral lists this long non-coding RNA (1701 nucleotides) under Olea europaea subsp. europaea. The record is from RNAcentral. Lineage: Eukaryota; Viridiplantae; Streptophyta; Magnoliopsida; Lamiales; Oleaceae.
AGUCGAUGAGCUUGUUUAUACCUCAAUCAUUUUACACUUGUUUGACGUUAUUUUAAUAAAGGUAGGUGAACUAAAAACCACCAAAGAACUUUGGAAAAAUUCGAAGACCUGUAUUUGCUCAAAUUUACCUCAAACAAGCUUUACUUGCUUGAGCGUUUCUUCAGCUUUAAAAUAAAUCGUUCAAAGGAUCUCGAUGAUAAAUUAGAAGUAUUUAACAAAUUAGUUCAAGAUAUUGUUAACUGUGAGGAGACAGUGUUCGAAACCUAUAAGGUCAUAAUUUUGCUUAACUCAAUGCUUGACACGUAUAAGGAAGUUAAAAAUGCAAUUAAGUAUGGUUGGGACACUUUGAAGUCUGAAAUUGUCAUAGACUCAUUUAGAAGUAAGGAGAUGGAAAAUAGAUCUGAAAAAUGUGAUAAGAAAAGCGGUGAGAUACAUAUGAUAAGAGGUAGAACUCAGUUUAAGUAAAACAGUCAUGAUAGAUACCAAAGUAGUGGUGAGUCAAGUAGUAACUGAGGGAAAAAGAAGGCAAUGAUAGGUCUAGAUCAAAAUCUAGAAUGAAUGUUAGAAAAUGCUAUGGUUAUGGAAACACAUGGCAUUUUAUAAAGGAUUAUUAUAAGGAAAAAGGUAAGCAAAAGAUUAAGGAGAGAGAUGAGGUAAACGUAUUGUCUUUUAUUCCUGAUGUUGAUGACGAUGAGGUUUACAUGAUUACAAGUCCUGUCGCUUAUAAUGUUGAAUUAAAUCUAACUGCUAAUUCAUAUGAGUGAAUACUUGAUUCUGGUGUAUCUUUUCACGUGACAUCUGAAAGGGAUUGGUUUGAAAACUUGCAUGAAUUUAACACUGGGCAUGUUGUGCUGUGUGAUAACUUUGCCUAUACUAUUGCUGAAAUUUGCGAUAUUAAUAUAAAAUUUGACAUUGACUUUGUGUACACCUUGAAAGAUGUUAGAUAUAUUCCUGAACUACCUAGGAAUUUAAUUUCGAUAGGGAGGCUUGAAAAAGAUAAGUUUACUGGUAAAAUUGGAAAUUGAACGCUAAAGACGAUUAAGGGUGCACUAGUUUCUAUUAAGAGAACUAAGAAAAAUGAGAUUUAUAUCACUACCGGAGAAGCAAUUAGAGGUUUAAACUUCUCUAUUUUCUCAGCCAAAAUUGAUCACACAUAUACAUGGCAUAAUAGGAUUGCACAUCUAGGCAUUAAGGGACUUAAGCUUCUUAACGAAAAUGGUGCAUUUGGUAAUGACUGUGUGUCUAAUUUGUCAUUCUGUGAUCACUUGGUAAACAUCAUAGAAAUUCUUUCUCCACUAGUUUUCAUAAAACUAAAGGCAUACUUGAAUAUGUGUAUUUUGAUCUGUGGGGUACUGCUAGUAAUCCCACCUCGGGUGGAAAUAGGUAUUUAUUGUCAAUUAUCGAUAACUACAUGAGGAAAGUGUGGGUUUAUCUUCUAAAUGAUAAAUCUGAUACUUUUCACAACUUUAAUAACUGGAAAAGACAAAUAGAAAACAAACUGGCAAACAAAUUAAAUUCUUGAGAACAAAUAAUGGCCUAGAGUUUUGUAGCACUGAAUUUGAUAGUAUGUGCAAGGAAAAUGGAAUAACAAGGCAAAAAACUGUUCCUUACACUUUUCAACAAAAAGGGGUAGUGGAAAGGAUGGAUAAAACUAUACUUGAUAAAGUACAUUGCAUGAUGUUAAGUUAUAGUGUUCCAGAG